AUACACCACAACUUAAUGUGAUAUUUAC
This 28-nucleotide non-coding RNA is filed under the name Trypanosoma brucei brucei. Lineage: Eukaryota; Euglenozoa; Kinetoplastea; Trypanosomatida; Trypanosomatidae. The record is from RNAcentral.